UUUUAUAUGAGAGUUUGAUCCUGGCUCAGGAUGAACGCCGGCGGUGUGCCUAAUACAUGCAAGUCGAACGCGUUGGCCCAACUGAUUGGACGUGCUUGCACGGACUUGACGUUGGUUUACCAGCGAGUGGCGGACGGGUGA
This 141-nucleotide ribosomal RNA is filed under the name Limosilactobacillus mucosae. RNAcentral's name for it is "Lactobacillus mucosae 16S rRNA. Bacterial SSU". It matches the Rfam family "Bacterial small subunit ribosomal RNA", at positions 1 to 109 of the family's 1533-position model. Lineage: Bacteria; Bacillati; Bacillota; Bacilli; Lactobacillales; Lactobacillaceae. The record is from RNAcentral.